Long non-coding RNA from Humulus lupulus (European hop), 518 nucleotides. RefSeq lists it as uncharacterized. The record is from RefSeq and is a predicted model, not a curated record. The transcript is spliced from 2 exons. NCBI's taxonomy places the organism in Eukaryota, Viridiplantae, Streptophyta, Magnoliopsida, Rosales, Cannabaceae.
UUGGUUGAUUAUGUUAGGUUACCACUUUCAGACGAUCCUGCUUUGGCAAUGGCAUUUUAUAGUGGUACGGCAAGCAGCAACUGUCCCACUAUUGCUUGUUAAUGGAACAUAUAGGAAAAAUAUUCACACGUAUCUUGAUUCCUCCAUUCUGCAGUAUCAACUACAGAGGUUGCAUGAUCAUGGCUCUCUCAAAGAUUCUAUAGUCAAGUAAAUGCAACUAUAGCCCUUCUCCAUCUAAUUCACUGUACAAGAGAGAGAAAAGUGGAUGUGGUGUUUGAUAUGACUACAAUUCCUGCUUUUCUAGUUGUGUUGGGAGUUUUGUAUAUUGUGUCAAGGCCAAGACGACCGAAGCCAAAAGUCAAUUGAUUUUUGCAGUGAUUUAGAGAAGAGAAUUAUGUUGUCUUGUUGGGAUUUGUUGUAUUAUAUAUUUUUAAGUUUAUGGAUUUAUAAUAUUAUAAUGAAUAUUUAUUGAGAAUUAUUUAGUCUCAUGGGGAUUUGAUAUAUUAUUUACAUUUCAA